Molecule: long non-coding RNA, 613 nt
Organism: Hippocampus comes (tiger tail seahorse)
Lineage: Eukaryota; Metazoa; Chordata; Actinopteri; Syngnathiformes; Syngnathidae
Exons: 3
Source: RefSeq, a predicted model, not a curated record
UUUUUAAUGUAUCCACUCUGUUCUACCAUGGUGUAGAUGGGAAGAGGAAUGGAGUAGGGGUGAUUAUAAAGGAAAAAUAUGCUAGACAUGUAGUAGAAGUAAAACGAGAGUCAGACAGGUUGAUGUGCGUGAAGGUAGAGAUAGAAGGUGUGAUGAUGAAUGUAGUCAGUGGGUAUGCCCCACAGGUGGGCUGUGAGUUAGAAGAAAAGGAAAAGUUCUGGAAUGAGAUGGAUAGAGUGACAGAGAGCAUUCCCAGGGGAAAGAGAGUAGUGAUUGGAGCAGACUUAAAUGGUCAUGUAGGGGAAGGUAACAGAGGUGAUGAGGAAGUGAUGGGCAAGUUUGGACUUAGAGAUAGGAACUUGGAAGGACAGGCAGUGGUAGACUUUGCCAAAAGAAUGGAAAUGGCAGUGGUAAACACCUAUUUCCAAAAGUGAGAAGAACACCUGAUAACUUACAAGAGUGGAGGCAGGUCCACACAGAUAGAUUAUAUCCUAUGUAGAAGAGGUAAUCUGAGGGAGGUUAACGACUGUAAGGUGGUGCCAGGAGAGAGUGUAGCCAAACAGCAUAGGAUAGUAGUGUGCAAGCUGACAAUGGAGGUGAGGAAAAGGAAGAG